CCUACGGGAGGCAGCAGUGAGGAAUAUUGGUCAAUGGGCGAGAGCCUGAACCAGCCAAGUCGCGGGAAGGAUGACGGCCCGACGGGUUGUAAACUUCUGUUGUCAGGGAGCAAGUGGGUCCACGCGUGGGCUUAGCGAGAGGACCUGAAGAAAAAGCAGCGGCUAACUCCGUGCCAGCAGCCGCGGUAAUACUGAGGAUGCGAGCGUGAUCCGGAUUUAGUGGGUUUAAAGGGUGCGUAGGCGGUGAGGUAAGUCAGCGGUGAAAUGCCCCCGCUCAACGGGGUGAAGUGCCAUUGAUACUGCCUUGCUGGACUGCGGCUGCCGUGGGCGUAAUGUGUGGUGUAGCGGUGCCAUGCUUCGCUAUCACCC
Molecule: ribosomal RNA, 369 nt
Filed under: uncultured bacterium
Lineage: Bacteria
Description: partial 16S ribosomal RNA
Rfam family: Bacterial small subunit ribosomal RNA
Source: RNAcentral